This 253-nucleotide ribosomal RNA is filed under the name uncultured bacterium. RNAcentral describes it as "partial 16S ribosomal RNA". It matches the Rfam family "Bacterial small subunit ribosomal RNA", at positions 524 to 776 of the family's 1533-position model. The record is from RNAcentral.
UACGUAGGGGGCAAGCGUUGUCCGGAUUUACUGGGCGUAAAGAGCGCGUAGGCGGAAGCUUAAGCGGUGCCUGAAAGCCCCCGGCUCAACCGGGGAGGGUGGUGCCGAACUGGGCUUCUUGAGGGCGAUAGAGGAGAGUGGAAUUCCUGGUGUAGCGGUGAAAUGCGUAGAUAUCAGGAGGAACACCUGUGGCGAAAGCGGCUCACUGGACCAUAACUGACGCUGAUGCACGAAAGCUAGGGGAGCAAACAGG